UGGUAAUUAGUUUAAAUUAAAACAAGUGAUUUCGACUCACUAGAUUAUGGAUUCUCAUAAUUACUAA
This 67-nucleotide transfer RNA is filed under the name Microsciurus flaviventer (pygmy squirrel). Its description in RNAcentral is "tRNA-Arg". It matches the Rfam family "tRNA". From Rfam's summary of the family: Transfer RNA (tRNA) molecules are approximately 80 nucleotides in length. The record is from RNAcentral. Lineage: Eukaryota; Metazoa; Chordata; Mammalia; Rodentia; Sciuridae.